ACAAUCUCCCCCAGGACACAGACAAGACCCUUUCAAUAAAUCCAGCUCAGAAACACCUAUUGUUCAAAAUCUUCAACUCGCCACAGGCUACCACCACUCCCUAUGGCUUUGCAAAAUUAAAGAUUUAGAAGAAGGAUGGGGCGGUGGAAGCUAUGAAAAGAGGCAGGAAAAAAGUUCCUUUGACCCGAUGCUGUCAGAGAGCGUGCAUGAAGAAGAAAGUUAAUGGUAUUUCCAUUUAUAUAAGAAGCGCCUAAGAAAUGCCUGUGACGUUCGUGAACUAGUGAUUGUGAAUUCCAAAUUUGAUGCCAACUUUAUGUGUAAAGAAGCUAACUCCUGCCAACAUCGUGGCUGAAUGAACAGCUGGGACUAUGCUUAACCCAUUCCCAGCUUAUAAAAGCCCCAUGGCAGCUGCAGUGAAGCAUCA
Molecule: long non-coding RNA, 424 nt
Filed under: Homo sapiens (human)
Lineage: Eukaryota; Metazoa; Chordata; Mammalia; Primates; Hominidae
Description: HSALNT0392567
Source: RNAcentral